Molecule: small RNA, 730 nt
Filed under: Pan troglodytes (chimpanzee)
Lineage: Eukaryota; Metazoa; Chordata; Mammalia; Primates; Hominidae
Description: retained intron
Source: RNAcentral
GCUGUUCUUGCCCUGACAUUCCAUAUUCUGUGUCUCUGCAGACCACCAUCAUGGCAGUGGAGUUUGACGGGGGCGUUGUGAUGGGUUCUGAUUCCCGAGUGUCUGCAGGCGAGGCGGUGGUGAACCGAGUGUUUGACAAGCUGUCCCCCCUGCACGAGCGCAUCUACUGUGCACUCUCUGGUUCAGCUGCUGAUGCCCAAGCCGUGGCCGACAUGGCCGCCUACCAGCUGGAGCUCCAUGGGAUAGAACUGGAGGAACCUCCACUUGUUUUGGCUGCUGCAAAUGUGGUGAGAAAUAUCAGUUAUAAAUAUCGAGAGGACUUGUCUGCACAUCUCAUGGUAGCUGGCUGGGACCAACGUGAAGGGGGUCAGGUAUAUGGAACCCUGGGAGGAAUGCUGACUCGACAGCCUUUUGCCAUUGGUGGCUCCGGCAGCACCUUUAUCUAUGGUUAUGUGGAUGCAGCAUAUAAGCCAGGCAUGUCUCCCGAGGAGUGCAGGCGCUUCACCACAGACGGUAACCAGCCAAGUGGAAGGGUACCUGGGGAGGGCUUUUAAACAUGGGAAGGAAGUAGAUUAUGAGGAACAGGAAGAGAAAUACAGGGGUGACCAUUUAAGUUAAUGCCGGGCCUGGUACACUUUUAAGAGUGAAAAGGGGCAGGACAAAUGCAAAGCUCAAUGGGGCUCUUGGGCAAUACGGAUAAACCAGGGCUGUUCUGAGUAAAUCAAAUGAG